CAUCCAUCAUCCAUCUAUCCAUCUAUAAUCCAUCUAUCCAUCCAUCAUCUGUCUAUAAUCCAUCUAACAUCCAUCAUCCAUCUAUCCAUCUAUAAUCCAUCUAUCCAUCCACCAUCCCUCAAUAGUCCAUCUAUCCAUCCAUCAUCCAUCUAUAAUCCAUCUAACCAUCCAUCAUCCAUCUAUCCAUCUAUAAUCCAUCUAUCCAUCCAUCAUCCGUCUAUAAUCCAUCUAACAUCCAUCAUCCAUCUAUCCAUCUAUAAUCCAUCUAUCCAUCCACCAUCCCUCAAUAGUCCAUCUAUCCAUCCAUCAUCCAUCUAUAAUCCAUCUAACCAUCCAUCAUCCAUCUAUCCAUCUAUAAUCCAUCUAUCCAUCCAUCAUCCGUCUAUAAUCCAUCUAACAUCCAUCAUCCAUCUAUCCAUCUAUAAUCCAUCUAUCCAUCCACCAUCCCUCAAUAGUCCAUCUAUCCAUCCAUCAUCCAUCUAUAAUCCAUCUAACCAUCCAUCAUCCAUCUAUCCAUCUAUAAUCCAUCUAUCCAUCCAUCAUCCGUCUAUAAUCCAUCUAACAUCCAUCAUCCAUCUAUCCAUCUAUAAUCCAUCUAUCCAUCCACCAUCCCUCAAUAGUCCAUCUAUCCAUCCAUCAUCCAUCUAUAAUCCAUCUAACCAUCCAUCAUCCAUCUAUCCAUCUAUAAUCCAUCUAUCCAUCCAUCAUCCGUCUAUAAUCCAUCUAACAUCCAUCAUCCAUCUAUCCAUCUAUAAUCCAUCUAUCCAUCCACCAUCCCUCAAUAGUCCAUCUAUCCAUCCAUCAUCCAUCUAUAAUCCAUCUAACCAUCCAUCAUCCAUCUAUCCAUCUAUAAUCCAUCUAUCCAUCCAUCAUCCGUCUAUAAUCCAUCUAACAUCCAUCAUCCAUCUAUCCAUCUAUAAUCCAUCUAUCCAUCCACCAUCCCUCAAUAGUCCAUCUAUCCAUCCAUCAUCCAUCUAUAAUCCAUCUAACCAUCCAUCAUCCAUCUAUCCAUCUAUAAUCCAUCUAUCCAUCCAUCAUCCGUCUAUAAUCCAUCUAACAUCCAUCAUCCAUCUAUCCAUCUAUAAUCCAUCUAUCCAUCCACCAUCCCUCAAUAGUCCAUCUAUCCAUCCAUCAUCCAUCUAUAAUCCAUCUAACCAUCCAUCAUCCAUCUAUCCAUCUAUAAUCCAUCUAUCCAUCCAUCAUCCGUCUAUAAUCCAUCUAACAUCCAUCAUCCAUCUAUCCAUCUAUAAUCCAUCUAUCCAUCCACCAUCCCUCAAUAGUCCAUCUAUCCAUCCAUCAUCCAUCUAUAAUCCAUCUAACCAUCCAUCAUCCAUCUAUCCAUCUAUAAUCCAUCUAUCCAUCCAUCAUCCGUCUAUAAUCCAUCUAACAUCCAUCAUCCAUCUAUCCAUCUAUAAUCCAUCUAUCCAUCCACCAUCCCUCAAUAGUCCAUCUAUCCAUCCAUCAUCCAUCUAUAAUCCAUCUAUCCAUCUAUAA
RNAcentral lists this long non-coding RNA (1494 nucleotides) under Nothobranchius furzeri (turquoise killifish). RNAcentral describes it as "lncRNA (ENSNFUG00015001547.1)". Lineage: Eukaryota; Metazoa; Chordata; Actinopteri; Cyprinodontiformes; Nothobranchiidae. The record is from RNAcentral.